RNAcentral lists this long non-coding RNA (1070 nucleotides) under Equus caballus (horse). RNAcentral describes it as "lncRNA (ENSECAG00000055268.1)". The record is from RNAcentral. Lineage: Eukaryota; Metazoa; Chordata; Mammalia; Perissodactyla; Equidae.
CUAAUAAAUAUUUAAUGUAUAGCUUAAUGGUUCGUAUAAAGUAACCUAUCCAAUGCUUUGAUUCUUGAAUAAUGUAUUAAAUAAUAGUGAAGGCAAAGACCUGGAAGAAGAUUGAAAGUAUAUAUAAGUCUACACUGCAAAAGUUUUAUUCUUAAAUAGAGUAGAGGUCUUUGUACAACUUUUAGAACAAAUGGAUAGUGUUUUUCUGAUAAGAAACAAAGAUGACAGAAAUAGAAACUGCUUCUGAAAAGUGUAGUUAUACAGAGCAAACACUAAAUAAAAUGAGUGUGGUUUAUUACAAGUCUGAUAUAUCAGAUUUAAACUUCUACGUGUUAUGAAAAAGAAAAGCCAGUUUCAAAUUUCAUCACUUUCUUAAUGGAUAUGAGUGUAGUUCCUAGAAUGUCAAUAGCCCAAAGCUACCAAGCUAUUGAAUGAGAUAUUAAAAUUUCAUAAUAUUCUUUCUUUAGCAGUAGUUUUACUGUGGCAACCUAUCAUUCAAGAAAAUAUAAAACCAAGCUUUUAAGAAGUGUUUACAAGACCUUAAAUUGUUGAGCCUAAUUUUCAGAUUGUAUCAGAGGUCAAAGUAAUUCAUUGUACCUUCAUCAUCCAGGAAAGCCACCUUUGAGACAAAACACAAGUAGGAGACUAUCAUUAAAACAAAUGUGGCAAUACAUUAUUUUCUACUUCCAAAUUAGCUUAUCUCAUGGUAGUCUUAUCUUUAUACAGGCAUACGUGUAUUUUUUCUAUCUUAUGACAGCCGUAUGCAAUACUAUAAAGAGAAAAUUAUCAUUAAGGAAUGAGAAUGUCCAAGAUUUCUCACCUAUGGAAUGAGGAAGUAGAUAAUCUUUAACACUCUGUUAGUGUCAGCAUUACUGGAAUAAGUGUUUGGUAUUAAGGUGAUCACUGCUAAGGGAAUAACACGUGUGUAUGUUUUAAACACAUUAUUUUAAAAAUUAGUCUCUGAUAUUGCAUAGCUAAAAUAUGUGCCUGUACAACACCUUUACAGUUGUUGAUCUGUUUUCCGACUCAACAGCUCCACAUAAUUGUCUUUAAUUCUAACAUGCUCCUGU